Molecule: transfer RNA, 76 nt
Filed under: Desulfoluna butyratoxydans
Lineage: Bacteria; Pseudomonadati; Thermodesulfobacteriota; Desulfobacteria; Desulfobacterales; Desulfolunaceae
Also listed under: 3 other names
Description: tRNA-Thr
Rfam family: tRNA
About the family: Transfer RNA (tRNA) molecules are approximately 80 nucleotides in length. Their secondary structure includes four short double-helical elements and three loops (D, anti-codon, and T loops). Further hydrogen bonds mediate the characteristic L-shaped molecular structure. tRNAs have two regions of fundamental functional importance: the anti-codon, which is responsible for specific mRNA codon recognition, and the 3' end, to which the tRNAs corresponding amino acid is attached (by aminoacyl-tRNA synthetases). tRNAs cope with the degeneracy of the genetic code in two manners: having more than one tRNA (with a specific anti-codon) for a particular amino acid; and 'wobble' base-pairing, i.e. permitting non-standard base-pairing at the 3rd anti-codon position.
Source: RNAcentral
GCCAAUGUAGCUCAGUUGGCAGAGCAGCUCACUCGUAAUGAGCAGGCCCGCGGUUCGAAUCCGCGCAUUGGCUCCA